This 344-nucleotide long non-coding RNA is filed under the name Equus caballus (horse). RNAcentral's name for it is "lncRNA (ENSECAG00000050114.1)". The record is from RNAcentral. Lineage: Eukaryota; Metazoa; Chordata; Mammalia; Perissodactyla; Equidae.
GUACAAGGACCUAAAAAAAGAACACACCACAAAAUGGUCCAAUUAUACCCUGUUACCUGUAUCAGUAAUUGACAAUUGCAGAGACAUAAAGGAACUGGACAGAUGUGGGUAGCAAUUAAGGAAUGGACUGCUCAGGGUCAAGACUGAAAUUUUUCUGAGUGAGAACCACCCUCAACCACUAUUAUUGAAUACCGAGUAACUUUGGAAAUUAGCUUUUGCCGCAGAAUUGGUAAUAUUUAUUAAUGAAUUCAACCCAAAAUUACAAGGCAAACACUACUUUUACACGAGAAACAUGUAAUAUGGUAAGGCUAAUUUGAGGACAACUAACAUUAUUUGGAUUACAG